RNAcentral lists this transfer RNA (72 nucleotides) under Cladophialophora immunda. RNAcentral's name for it is "tRNA-Gly (CCC) (tRNA-Gly-CCC-2-1)". It matches the Rfam family "tRNA". From Rfam's summary of the family: Transfer RNA (tRNA) molecules are approximately 80 nucleotides in length. Their secondary structure includes four short double-helical elements and three loops (D, anti-codon, and T loops). Lineage: Eukaryota; Fungi; Ascomycota; Eurotiomycetes; Chaetothyriales; Herpotrichiellaceae. The record is from RNAcentral.
GCUGAAGUAGUGUAGUAGUUAGCAUUUUACAUUCCCAAUGUGAGGACUCGGGUUCAAAUCCCGACUUCAGCA